UACGUAGGGUGCGAGCGUUGUCCGGAAUUAUUGGGCGUAAAGAGCUUGUAGGCGGUUUGUCGCGUCUGCUGUGAAAUCUCAAGGCUCAACCUUGAGCUUGCAGUGGGUACGGGCAGACUAGAGUGUGGUAGGGGAGACUGGAAUUCCUGGUGUAGCGGUGAAAUGCGCAGAUAUCAGGAGGAACACCUGUGGCGAAAGCGGCUCACUGGACCAUAACUGACGCUGGAUGCACGAAAGCUAGGGGAGCAAACAGG
Molecule: ribosomal RNA, 254 nt
Filed under: uncultured bacterium
Lineage: Bacteria
Description: partial 16S ribosomal RNA
Rfam family: Bacterial small subunit ribosomal RNA
Source: RNAcentral